This is a long non-coding RNA of Lutra lutra (Eurasian river otter), 3483 nucleotides long. RefSeq lists it as uncharacterized. Lineage: Eukaryota; Metazoa; Chordata; Mammalia; Carnivora; Mustelidae. The transcript has 4 exons. The record is from RefSeq and is a predicted model, not a curated record.
UUGGGGGAAAUAGAAAUCAGCUGGGCUGUGGGGACUGGAAUGGUGGCACAGGGGAGAGUUCCAAGGAGGACCACGGGGAGUUGGAGGAUAGGGUGGGAAGGAUUUUUGUGGGUGGAAGAAAAACGUAUAAACAGAACCAAAGGGUGAGGGUCUAUCUGGGAAGAUCACUUCCCCCCGAAUUGAGCUUAGCAUCUGGAAUAUUGGGCCAGAGGUCACAACUGUCUCCCCUGUCAGCGUCCUUUCUUUCGAGCAUCACACUCCUGUCACUUCAGUCUGAAGUUAUAGCAUCGUUUUUGUUGCCAGUGUGUCUCAUUCCUGGUUUGUAUUGGGUGUGGAUGAGAACGGAAAUCUUCUGGGGUUUCCACAUGGCCCUUGUCUGGACAUCCAAGCCCCCUGUCGCUGACCUUCAGUCACAGCAACGUCCAUGACCUCUCGGAUUUCUUCCUUUGUCUGCUAGAACAUUCCAGACACAGGUGUUUGGAAGCACCUAUGCAUCAGGGCCGCGCUAUGUGCGGGAGAGAAUGAGAAGAGCGUGUCUGGUUCCCUUCCUCGUGGUACCUGGAGUCCACCACGGCUGGGCUACAGACGAGUGGCCACAGACUCCUGGCCACUGAAAGCUUCAGACUCUGUUUACCCCUGCGUCCAUCUGCUGCUUAGUCACGGAGCCGCCCCGCUUGCUGAUGGCGUCCAGCCCUGGGCAGGACCCCACGUCUCAGGAGGACCCAAGGCAAGCCGCAGCCCAUCCCCAGAAAGUCCCUUCUGAUCAGUUCUUACUAGAGUGUCGCCGGCUGCGCUGAGGGAGGCCCCCAUGGACGCAGGAACAGGUGCACUCCCGGCGUCUUUGGCUGGACAGUACUGACGGUUGGGGGGUUCCGGUCCCGCAGCCCCCACCCGGCUUGGGACCAGCGCCCUCCCACGAAGAGUCUAUCCCCAGGCCAGCCCAGGUAAGCGCAGAAACGGACAGGUAUUCCUUACGAGCAUUUACGUUACGGUUACAUUACGGUUUUAAGAGAUACGGAGGACUUCAGCUGGCAGAACAGACCUCAUGAACGAGGUCAUGGAAGCCAGGAACAAAACGGUGUAUGAUCCUAGUCUGCACGCUAAUUCCCAGCGGGCGGAAACGGACGGAAGGCGGUCACCCGGGACACGCAGGUGUGUGCACCGUCUGAGGGCACAUCCGGCAUGUGGGAAGGCGACCGACCUUACGUAUUUAUUCCUUCGUGCAUCCUCGCAAAAAUCAUGGAGCUUAUCAUGUGCUGGACACUUGAGUGCACUGCCUGCGUUCCAGAAGAAAAUGAGGCCGUGUUCUUGUUCUCAGGGAGGGUCCAGUCCGAUGGAGGCCACGGAUGCAAUAAAGCAAGGAGAGAGUGUCGUAGGUGUCGUGCAGACGCUUGGGUCAGGACAUCGCGGCCGCAGAGGCUAAAGGAGCAGGAAGAUGGGAGGAAUGAUCGUCUCCUGAGGGCACGGUCCUGCCGUUCGGAAGCACCUUCACGGCUCUCGUUAUCAUUCAGACCCUGGGGCAGCUGGGAGGAAGGCGCUCUGACCCUCAGCCCAUCGCCCCAGGGGGACACUCCCGAAGGCAUCUGUACUGAGCCAGAAAGAACAGCGAGUGGCAGAUCGGGGACAAAAAAUACCUCCCUCGCAUCCUUUACCUGAUUUCACCCAAUGAUACUGUAUUACUGAAUAUGUAAACCAACAACGUAUAAAAUAGCCUGGGGCUGUUUUCAGGAGCUAAGGUCUCGAGUUUCUCCCCUCAGUGGGCUUUUAGACGUUGGAUACAUGACGGCAUUGGGAUCAGACGAGUGACCGAGGCCCAAAGAAUGGCCAAGUUCGUGGGUCGCGGUGACCAGGAAGUUAACUCCUGCAACCCAAGAGUGACACGCAGGAACCGUUAGAGCAGCCCAGUGAACAACGUCACACGUGACGCGCGAGGGAAAACGAGACAACCGCAGGAACGCACACCUCUUCAGAGCCUUUGCCGCUCACCUCCUCGAGUCUAGGCCCCACGAGUGGAGGGCUGAGAAGGAGCCUCAAAGCGUAGUGCUUUGAUCUCAUCACCCCGUCUGCUUUUACAAAAACGUGCUGUUUUUCUAAGGUCAUUCCCCCAGACAGCCGUCUUCUGGAGUGGAAAGCAGAGGCUUCAGAGGCAUUAGGGACCCAGGCUCAAGGCCCAGCUCUGCUGCUCACUAGCUGGAUACUUGGGACACAUGACCUGACCUCCCGAGUCUUGGUUCCUCGUGUUAAUCAGAGAUAAUUGCUCCCACUGUGUAGGUCUGUCAUAUUCCUGAGAGCUUUCCAGUAUCUGGAAAAUAAUGGCUAUUCACGGACAGUGACUUUGAGCAUGAGGAGAGAGACAAUCGGCCUUGAGGAAGCCAGGACAGCAAGGCAGGGUCUCCUGGCAACGCCAGGUUUGGUUCUGAUUGAUUGAAUCAUCUUCCCUCAGAUUCACAGAUGGGCUGUGCUAGGAAGGCAGAAGGCAAGAGCCUGGGAGUUAGCAGUGUGGCCAGAGCUCUGACAGUGGGCAGACACCAGAGACCCUCUGUGAGCCCACCCGGAGAGGGAAGAAAGCGGAACCAGCAGGACACGCAGGAUGUGGGAGCGAGCCCUGGUCACCACCUCACAAGGCUCAGAGCUAACAGCAGACAAUGCGGUGGUGGUGACUUCCCACGACCAGACACUCCUACGGAUCUCUAGCUCAGGGGCAGGGAGCAGCCACGUUAUCUUAUCUAAUUAACUGACUGUUAGAACCUCCUCCACUUAGCGGUAUUUAGACCAGAGCUUUCUUCUGUUAGUUUUCGGGGGAUUCUGUAAUCUCCCACUUUGCAGGGUGACAAAGAUGGUGCCUGGCUUCCUUUUGAACAACAGAGAAUGGCCUGAGACUUGUGCACAAUUCUUAAAUAUCAUAGUCUCUGCUCCUCCUCCUCCUCCAAUAAAAAAUCCUACUUUUGGGAACUGGAAAGACCUCUGAUUGAUUGCAUGACCAUGUGCUCCCAACACUGUAAAGCACUGUGCACACAUUAUGUCAUUCACUUCCCACCACAAUCCCAGGAGGAGGGAACGACGGUCCCACUUCAUAGACGGAAACCGGCUCAGAGAAGUCAUCACUUGACCAAAGACACAGGGUGAGUGGCUGGCGUUGCCACAGCUGGUUGACCCCAGUGUGGUUUGAGCCUACAACUGCCUUCCAUCCUCUGUCUACACAGCACAGUGAGCUCGUGGAAUGAAGUAAUGCGAUUAGAUGCACACUGUCAUUGGCAGUUAACUAUGGGUCAGUAAUUACCGUUAACAAAAGCAAUUAGCGAAUUCACACUGGUCUAGGGGUUUGGAUCACCGUGCAGGGUGGUGAUGGGUGCUGAGGAGGGCACAUGUGCUGAGCACUGGGUGUUACACGCAACCAGCGCAUCCUUGAACACUGUGUCAGAAACGAAUUCUGUACUAUACAGUGCCUAACUGAACAUAAUAAAAAGAAAUAAAAUGUUAAAA